UCCAGCUGGCCUCACCUCUCAACAGAGCAGAGGGAGGGCAGCUGGGAUGCGGGGGCAAGGCUGACUUCCAGGGUUCCACCUUGGCCAGCGAAUGGAAGCUCUGUUCAAUGCCGUUUUGAAGGCAGCAGUACUCCUCUUUGAACUGAGGGGAGAAAGUGGAGGAAAAACAUCAAAACUGAUUUUAUGUCACCCCUUUUGAGAAGCUGGUUUGAAAGUCAGAUCACCAUCCUGGACCAGGAAACAAGCACAGAUAUCCACAGGAGCCAGAGAGCCGGGGGGAAGGAUUAAAGCAAGAGAAGAGU
This 302-nucleotide long non-coding RNA is filed under the name Homo sapiens (human). RNAcentral describes it as "HSALNT0116301". The record is from RNAcentral. Lineage: Eukaryota; Metazoa; Chordata; Mammalia; Primates; Hominidae.